GUGACUUGGUUUCCUUCUCCAUUCAUUGUAACUGUUUUUCUCUCUCUUUUGCAGUUAAAUAAGCAAAGGAUUUGUGGGCUCUCGUGUGUCUGCAGCAAGACCAAACUGUAACUUGGCAAGGAAGCCUGCUCAGAUAAAUAAAAUACAGGCUAUCCUGUCAAAAGCUUGCAUGAUGUGCCUAUGACACCUGUUCGGCCCUGCUAAGGACCUCUGUGAAGACCACCUCACCUUUCUCCCGGCCCCUCUCCAGCCCUGCUAAGGACCUCUGUGAAGACCACCUCACCUUUCUCCCGGACCCUCUCCAGCCCUGCUAAGGACCUCUGUGAAGACCACCUCACCUUUCUCCCGGACCCUCUCCAGCCCUGCUAAGUACCACCUCCCCUUUCUCCCGGCCCCUCUCCAGCCCUGCUAAGGACCUCUGUGAAAACCACCUCACCUUUCUCCCGGACCCCUCUGCUACAGCCUAUAUGAAG
This 473-nucleotide long non-coding RNA is filed under the name Salmo salar (Atlantic salmon). RNAcentral's name for it is "lncRNA (ENSSSAG00000102053.1, ENSSSAG00020067404.1, ENSSSAG00075015080.1)". Lineage: Eukaryota; Metazoa; Chordata; Actinopteri; Salmoniformes; Salmonidae. The record is from RNAcentral.